CACGUAGUUAGCCGUGGCUUUCUCAUAAGGUACCGUCAAUUGAUAGUCAUUUCCUCCUAUCACCUUUCUUCCCUUAUAACAGAAUUUUACAACCCGAAGGCCUUCUUCAUUCACGCGGCGUUGCUCGGUCAGGCUUUCGCCCAUUGCCGAAGAUUCCUUACUGCUGCCUCCCGUAGGAGUCUGGGCCGUGUCUCAGUCCCAGUGUGGCCGUUCACCCUCUCAGGUCGGCUACGCAUCGUCGCCUUGGUAGGCCUUUACCCCACCAACUAGCUAAUGCGCCGCAGGCUCAUCCAUCAGUGAUGCCAGGAGCAUCUUUAAACUUUCGUCCUAUCCGGUAUUAGCGAUCGUUUCCAAUCGUUGUCCCCGUCUGAUGGGCAGAUCACCUACGUGUUACUCACCCGUUCGCCGCUUCCCACCGAAGUGGUUCGCUCGACUUGCAUGUAUUAGGCACGCCGCCAGCGUUCAUCCUGAGCCAGGAUCAAACUCU
Molecule: ribosomal RNA, 487 nt
Filed under: uncultured Turicibacter sp.
Lineage: Bacteria; Bacillati; Bacillota; Erysipelotrichia; Erysipelotrichales; Turicibacteraceae
Description: partial 16S ribosomal RNA
Source: RNAcentral